RNAcentral lists this ribosomal RNA (406 nucleotides) under uncultured bacterium. RNAcentral's name for it is "partial 16S ribosomal RNA". It matches the Rfam family "Bacterial small subunit ribosomal RNA", at positions 32 to 526 of the family's 1533-position model. The record is from RNAcentral.
CUUCAACGCUGGCUGCGUGCUUUACACGUGCAAGUCGGACGAGUGGCGAACGGGUGCGUAACGCGUGGGAACGUACCGAGUAAUGGGGGAUAACUGUCCGGAACGGGAGCUAAUACCGCAUAUUAUUGCAGGGGCCGAUGUCUGAUUGGCUGGUGGGCGGGGUAAAGGCCCACCAAGACGACGAUCAGUAGCGGGUCGGAGAGGAUGAUCAGCCACACUGGGACUGAGACACGGCCCAGACUCCUACGGGAGGCAGCAGUGGGGAAUUUUGGACAAUGGGCGCAAGCCUGAUCCAGCCAUGCCGCGUGUCUGAAGAAGGCCUUCGGGUUGUAAAGGACUUUUGUCAGGGAAGCGGUACCUGAAGAAUAAGCACCGGCUAACUACGUGCCAGCAGCCGCGGUAAUAC